AACUUGGACAGCAAUCUGGCAAUUGUAAGUCUAUACAAAUACGAGAUAAUUUUUGUAAUAGUUUGUUAUUACAUUCAUUUGCACAUAAUAUUGUGAGUAAAAAUAGCAAAUGGCAAUCUUGUGUAUGUUUAUUUUAUGUGUCGAUUACUAGAUAAGGUUUUUUUUUGGUUUUUCUUUUUAAUUUUUUUUAUAGCUAUGUUAAACAGCUGAAUUAGGAGAUGCAACAAUAUAGGAGAUGGAUAAACAUUUUCUUGGGAGAACUAUAGCAGGCUAUAUUAAAGGGUGUGUGGUUAUGAAAAUUAUGAUAUCUCUGCAUUUCUUUGUUAUUUAUUCUCCUGCUAGAACCUGAAAUAGCUUUGUUGAAUCAUCAGUUUUCAUUCUUAGCUCAAAGCUAUCCUUAUAACUUCAUAUAUUCUGUCUUAAAUAGGUUGUGGCUACAAUUGCUAGAUGCCAUAUCUUCUGAUAUGGUUCUAUGUAUUUGGUCAUGCUUAUUUAUUAACAUAUGGCUACAUCUCAAAGAGGAGAUUUGGUGUAAAACAGUCUUGUUGUCAGCUGUUUUGCAGGGUGAAAAUGAUA
Molecule: unclassified non-coding RNA, 576 nt
Filed under: Hevea brasiliensis (rubber tree)
Lineage: Eukaryota; Viridiplantae; Streptophyta; Magnoliopsida; Malpighiales; Euphorbiaceae
Source: RNAcentral